RNAcentral lists this ribosomal RNA (227 nucleotides) under Salmonella enterica subsp. enterica serovar 1,4,[5],12:i:-. Its description in RNAcentral is "partial 23S ribosomal RNA". It matches the Rfam family "Bacterial large subunit ribosomal RNA", at positions 1 to 226 of the family's 2925-position model. Lineage: Bacteria; Pseudomonadati; Pseudomonadota; Gammaproteobacteria; Enterobacterales; Enterobacteriaceae. The record is from RNAcentral.
GGUUAAGUUAGAAAGGGCGCACGGUGGAUGCCUUGACACUAGGAGUCGAUGAAGGACGGGACUAACGCCGAUAUGCUUCGGGGAGCUGUAAGUAAGCUUUGAUCCGAAGAUUUCCGAAUGGGGAAACCCACCAUACGUAAUGGUAUGGUAUCCUUAUCUGAAUACAUAGGGUAAGGAAGACAGACCCAGGGAACUGAAACAUCUAAGUACCUGGAGGAAGAGAAAGC